RNAcentral lists this ribosomal RNA (407 nucleotides) under uncultured bacterium. RNAcentral's name for it is "bacterial SSU rRNA". It matches the Rfam family "Bacterial small subunit ribosomal RNA", at positions 64 to 507 of the family's 1533-position model. The record is from RNAcentral.
GAACGAGAAGCCACCUUCGGGUGGUGGACAGUGGCAGACGGGUGAGUAACGCGUGGGAACGUGCCUUUCGGUUCGGGAUAACCCAGGGAAACUUGGGCUAAUACCGGAUAAGCCCUUACGGGGAAAGAUUCAUCGCCGAAGGAUCGGCCCGCGUCUGAUUAGCUAGUUGGUGGGGUAAUGGCCCACCAAGGCGACGAUCAGUAGCUGGUCUGAGAGGAUGAUCAGCCUCACUGGGACUGAGACACGGCCCAGACUCCUACGGGAGGCAGCAGUGGGGAAUAUUGGACAAUGGGCGCAAGCCUGAUCCAGCCAUGCCGCGUGGGUGAUGAAGGCCCUAGGGUUGUAAAGCCCUUUCGGCGGGGAAGAUAAUGACGGUACCCGCAGAAGAAGCCCCGGCUAACUUCGUG